Molecule: ribosomal RNA, 497 nt
Filed under: uncultured bacterium
Lineage: Bacteria
Description: partial 16S ribosomal RNA
Rfam family: Bacterial small subunit ribosomal RNA
Source: RNAcentral
GACGAACGCUGGCGGCGUGCCUAAUACAUGCAAGUAGAACGCUGAAGCGAGGAGCUUGCUCUUCUUGGAUGAGUUGCGAACGGGUGAGUAACGCGUAGGUAACCUGCCUUGUAGCGGGGGAUAACUAUUGGAAACGAUAGCUAAUACCGCAUAACAAUGGAUGACCCAUGUCAUUUAUUUGAAAGGGGCAAAUGCUCCACUACAAGAUGGACCCGCGUUGUAUUAGCUAGUAGGUGAGGUAACGGCUCACCUAGGCGACGAUACAAAGCCGACCUGAGAGGGUGAUCGGCCACACUGGGACUGAGACACGGCCCAGACUCCUACGGGAGGCAGCAGUAGGGAAUCUUCGGCAAUGGGGGCAACCCUGACCGAGCAACGCCGCGUGAGUGAAGAAGGUUUUCGGAUCGUAAAGCUCUGUUGUAAGUCAAGAACGAGUGUGAGAGUGGAAAGUUCACACUGUGACGGUAGCUUACCAGAAAGGGACGGCUAACUACGUG